CUACGGGACGCAGCAGUGAGGAAUAUUGCACAAUGGGGGGAACCCUGAUGCAGCAACGCCGCGUGGAGGAUGACGCAUUUCGGUGUGUAAACUCCUUUUAUAUGUCAAGAAAAUGACGGUAGCAUAUGAAUAAGCACCGGCUAACUCCGUGCCAGCAGCCGCGGUAAUACGGAGGGUGCAAGCGUUACUCGGAAUCACUGGGCGUAAAGGACGCGUAGGCGGGUUGGAAAGUCAGGUGUGAAAUCCUACAGCUUAACUGUAGAACUGCAAUUGAAACUUCUAAUCUAGAGUAUGGGAGGGGGAGAUGGAAUUAGUGGUGUAGGGGUAAAAUCCGUAGAUAUCACUAGGAAUACCUAAAGCGAAAGCGAUCUCCUGGAACAUUACUGACGCUAAGGCGUGAAAGCGUGGGGAGCAAACAGGAUUAGAUACCCUUGUAGUC
Molecule: ribosomal RNA, 439 nt
Filed under: uncultured bacterium
Lineage: Bacteria
Description: partial 16S ribosomal RNA
Rfam family: Bacterial small subunit ribosomal RNA
Source: RNAcentral